CUUCCUUUCUUGGGAGACAGGGAGACCAGGAUCUUAGUUGGCUCAGGCUGGCCUCAAACUCACUAUGAUUCUCCUGCCUCUACCUCCCCAGUGCUGUGUGCAUCACCACGCCCGAUUUUAUGAGGUGUUAGGGGUCAAACCCAGUGUAUCCUGAAUGAUAUAGGCAAGCGCUCUACCAAGUUGCCCACAUUCCCGGCCCCGAUUUUACUAUUAAAGAUGAAAGCUAGUUUACACAUUAACGAGAUUAAUGUUUGUCUAAUACAGUGCAGAGACUGGAAUGAGCGAACGGACGAGGGAAACACAGGAAGCAAGUUCAGACUGAGUCACCUGGGGUGGGGGCGGGGGCUCUCCCUAGGCGACCCAGGGUGGAGCGGGUGGGCCCAUCCUCACCACAUCCUGAGCCUUUGCUGUCAGAAGGCUCCCAGGAGCUUGGAGAGAUGUCUCAGUCGGUAGUACCGUGAUUGCCUUGCAAGCGUGAAUCGUGAAUUUCACCCCCAGGACUAAUGUUAAAAGCUUGCAAUGCACCACCGUGGAGGAGGCAGAGACAGUUCAAGGGCAAUAGACACUCUUGUAGAGGACCCAGGUUCAGUUCCCAGCCCUGGCUGUCCCAGAAUUCACUCUGCACACCAGGCAGGCAGAGAUCACCUGUUGCUGCCUCCCAAGUGCUGGGGCUGAAGUUGCGUGCCACCACUAUAGAAAAACCUUUAAAAACAAUAACUGUGUGAACAGUUUAAAAAGAUCCAACCAAGCAAAGGUGGACGGCACAUGAAGAGACACAUGAGGUUGACCCCCGGUCUCCUCCAUGUGCUCCCAGACACCCAGACAAAUAAGAGGGUGACGGAUGCUCAGGCCUGCCAGUCACCUCCAACAAUGAUGGCAGUUAUUAGUCUGUUGUUCAUUAUCUACUCAGCCACUGUCCCUGCAGACGGGUGGCACUGGCUUCCCACUUUCUAAGCAGUCCUUGGUUGUGUCAUUUUAUUUAUAAAAUAAACAUAUUUUCUUUAUUUUUAUUUAUUUAUUUAUUUUUGGUUCUUUUUUUCGGAGUUGGGGACCGAACCUAGGGCCUUGCGCUUCCUAGGCAAGCGCUCUACCACUGAGCUAAAUCCCCAACCCUCUUUAUGUUUUUUUUAAACGUAAGUACGUACAUGCAUGUGUAUGUGCCUGCAUGCGUGCAUGUGUGUAAUUUAUAUGACUACACUGUCAUUGUCUUCAGACACACCAGAAGAGGGCAUCGGAUCCCAUCACAGAUGAUUGUGAGCCACCAUGUGGUUGCUGGGAAUUGAACUCAGGACCUCUGGAAGAGCAGUCAGUGCUCUUAACCACUGAGCCAUCUCUCCAGCCCCUCUUUCUAUCUUUUGUCUACGUUGGCUUUGAACUCCGUAUGUAGUCGAGGAUGACCUUGAACCCCUGCCUCCACGUUCCGAGAUUACAGGCCUGGCCACAACACUUGGUUCAUGGUUUUGUGCUAGGCAAGCGCUCUGUCAGCUUGCUAGUGUGUAGCCCAGGCUGUCCUCAAACCCGUGAUUCUCCUGCCUCCCAUUCUCCAGCAUUUGCCUCCUGGGCUUCGAUACACGCUACUGGUUUUUGUUUUUUUCAUUUUAAGAAAUGAAUUGAAGGUAAGUCUCUCAGCCUGACCCUGGGGUGCUGUCCAGAUCUGGGAGUUAAGGCGAGAAUCUGAUCAUCUGGGAAGGCAGCUUCUGUUACCUGCACUUGCCACUUAGGCCGGCCAUGGUUGGUCACUCCACAGUGUAGUGCUGUCCAGAUAGGCCAGGCUGCGGAAGAGAGUGGGACACAUUGUCUGCAUUCCUGAGGUCCCCUCACCAUCCUCCCACUGCGUGCGGCUUCCACCCUAGACCUGUCUGGUAUUUUUAGCUUCCAGAGCGGCACCCUGCACAGCCCCGAACACUGACCAAAUUUAGAAAUCUCAAGAGUCUCAGCUGGAAGGCGCGAUGGAUGAAUGGGCGCUGGUGACUGGGCUGCCGCUGACAGGACUCUGCUGAUGGUGGGGAGGCCUGGAGGUCCUGAGCAGCCAGAGAGAAUCGAGACAAGGUCACCCCUGUGCUCCCCCAGCCCUGGGAACAGCAAAGCUCACACGAUAUGCGUGUGCAUCAGAACCUGGCAGGGUUAGAGAUCUGAGAGAUAACAGACACCUUAUCUGACUACAUAGUUCCUUUCCAUCUGGUUCUCCACGUCGUCAACAUUCACAGACACGCUGAAUAUUGAACGGCACAGCCCCCAGUUAGGGAAAGGACUUUACUCCGCCAAGAGCUUCAAAGGAUCUAGUACUGAACCUGGGACCCACAGAUUCACCAACAGAGGCAGAGGUGUCCUCCAGUCACCCUGCUGAAUCUCCAAGUCUCUAAACUGUCUUAGGAGAAGUCCUUCCCAGGCAAGUCCCCCACCUACCACCUUCACCGGCAAGUUCUCCAAACGUCCUUAAGCUUAGCAGCCAUAUUCCUGUUUCUCUUUUGCUCUCUCUUUGGGUAAGGCACAAAGUAAGCUUCCAAGAUUGAGUUAGGACUUUGUGCACUCCGUAUCACCGGGACCAGCGUUUGAGAAGGAGACGGCUGCCCUCUGGCGGCCACUCGGUGCACUGCAGCAGUCUUAGAGCCCAGCGCUGGAAUCCUCCGCCCUUCAGCCUGCGUGAUCUCGCCUCCAGGAUGGGGAUUGGAACAGAGUCAACAUUCCAGCCAAGCUUUGCUGACUGAUCCAAGUCUGUUUAUAGGGAGAUUCUGACUGCUCUUUAGAGAACUAACAGGCUUGUUUUAUUUUUUAAGACAAGGUCUUAUACAGUUCAAGUUGGCUUUGAAUUCACUAUGUAUUUAUUUCUGUUUUAUUGGUUCUUUUUUUUUUUUUUUUUUUUUUUUUUUGGACCUGGGGACCGAACCCAGGGCCUUGCGCUUCCUAGGUAAGCACUCUACCACUGAGCUAAAUCCCCAGCCCCUUAUUUCUGUUUUAUGUGUGAGUGUUUUGCCUGCAUGUAUGUCUGUAUACAACAUCCCUGGUGGCAGGAAGAGGGGUGUCAGAUCCCCUGGAACUGGAGUUCCUAACAGUUGUGAGCUGCCGUGUGCCUGCUGGAAACUGGACCUGGGUCCUCUGCAUAAGCAGACAGUGCUCUGUAACCACUGAGCAAACUCUCCAGCCUUAUUUGUUCUUAAACUGAGAAGAUUAAACUGCUGGCAAGUACACAGGAGAGUUCCCACUGUGGUACCUCUCCUUUUUUAAAGAUUGAUUUAUUUAUUUAAUGUGUGUGAAUUCACUGUUGCUGUCUUCAGACACAGCAGAAGAGGGCAUCAGA
Rattus norvegicus (Norway rat) is the source of this 3298-nucleotide long non-coding RNA. RefSeq lists it as uncharacterized. The record is from RefSeq and is a predicted model, not a curated record. NCBI's taxonomy places the organism in Eukaryota, Metazoa, Chordata, Mammalia, Rodentia, Muridae.